RNAcentral lists this long non-coding RNA (218 nucleotides) under Drosophila guanche. The record is from RNAcentral. Lineage: Eukaryota; Metazoa; Arthropoda; Insecta; Diptera; Drosophilidae.
AGGAUAUAUUGUAUUUGUGGGGAAUAACGGAUGUAUGUAGCGCAUAGAAGGAAACUUUUCCGACCCCAUAAAGUAUACAUACUCUUGAUCAGCAUCAAAAGCCGAGUCUAAUUAUCCGGGUCUGUCUGUCCGUCCGUCUGUGCGUCUGGUUAUCAGAGACAAUAAAAGCUGGAGCCACCAAAUUUUGCAUCCAGAUGGCUGUAUGCUCUCACUACUUC